GCGUUCCAGGUACAUACGCCUUUCCAUUGUUUCGGACACGAUGAUUAAAUCAGAGAGCGAUGGUGAAUAGACCACAGAGCACUUAGAUCAACUGCGUGACGAAAAAGGAGACCUGUGUGUUGCUUCUCAAACUUUGCUGCCCUGUGGAAUCACCUGGAGAGUUCAAAACAUAUAUAUUGAUUCUUGGGUCCCACCUCUAGAGACUCUGAUUUAAUUGGAACAGGACAGGAUCUGGUCUGGGCAUUGAGGUACUGACAGCACAUGGCACACU
Molecule: long non-coding RNA, 271 nt
Filed under: Homo sapiens (human)
Lineage: Eukaryota; Metazoa; Chordata; Mammalia; Primates; Hominidae
Description: long non-coding RNA NONHSAT207344.1
Source: RNAcentral